This 32085-nucleotide long non-coding RNA is filed under the name Gossypium barbadense (sea-island cotton). RNAcentral's name for it is "long non-coding RNA (GBAR_LNC016626)". The record is from RNAcentral. Lineage: Eukaryota; Viridiplantae; Streptophyta; Magnoliopsida; Malvales; Malvaceae.
AGGGGAAAUUCCCAGCAAAUGAUGUUUUUCAAACUUUUCUAGCACAUCAUUCAUGAAGAAUUAUGCACUUUGUGGUCCACCUAGAUUGCUAGUCCCACCUUGCAAAAACGACAUCCACAAAAACUCCCAAAUGAUUAUAUUGCAUACUUUUAGGUAUGGUUUACCAACAAUUGGAGUACUAAUAGUCUUAACUAUUAUGUAUAGAAGAUGCCAAAAAAGGAGUACAACUCUACCAAUCAAAGAUGAUUUGUUGUCUUUGAAAACACCGAGAAGAAUUUCACAUGCUGAACUUUCACGAGCAACUAAUGGAUUUGAGGAAAGAAAUAUGCUUGGUUCUAGGAGUUUUGGAUAUGUAUAUAAAGGGAGGCUUUCAGAUGGAAUGGAAGUUGCAAUAAAAGUUUUCAAUUUGCAAACAGAGGGAGCAUUUAGGAGUUUUGACAUUGAAUGUGAUGCUAUGCGUAAUAUAGUUCAUCAUAAUAUUGUGAAGGUCAUUACUUACUGCUCAAGUGUUGACUUCAAAGCCUUAGUGCUUGAUUACAUGUCUAAUGGAAGCCUUGAGAAAUGCUUACAUGCUGAAAAUUGUUUCCUUGAUAUCAUAGAAAGGAUCGACAUAAUGAUAGAUGUUGCAGUAGCUAUAGAACACCUCCACAAUGGACAUCCAACACCUAUAAUUCAUUGUGACAUAAAACCAAGCAAUAUUUUACUAGAUGAAGACAUGGUUGCACAUGUUGGAGAUUUUGGCGUUGCCAAAUUGUUGGGAGAAGGUGAAGUAAUGAAGCAAACCAUGACUCUUGCAACUAUCGGGUAUAUGGCACCAGGUGAAUUCUUUUUUAUUUUUGUAUGAUUAUUUUCCUAAUUUGCAUUUUAUAUUUUUGUUUCAUGUGUAUGUGGAUAUAUAUUUGAAUAAGCAUUUUAGAAAUAAUUGAGGAUGAAUGAUGUUCUAAUUAUACUUGAAAUGCAGAAUUUGGAUCAGCAGGAAUUGUUUCUAUAAAAUCUGACGUCUAUAGUUAUGGGAUCGUACUUAUAGAAACUUUCACAAAGAAAAAGCCAACUGAUAAUGUGUUUGUUGAAGAAGAGACUAUAAGGCAUUGGAUGGAAAGAUCAUUGCCUAAAGGAGCGAUAGAAAUUGCAGAUGUUGAUUUAUUAAGAAGAGAGGAUGAGUAUAUUAUUGUUAAAGCAAAUUGUAUUUCAUCAAUCAUGGAGUUGGCUUUGAAUUGUUCAGCUGAGUUACCAGAAGAAAGAAAAGAUAUGAAAGAUGUUGUGGUUGAGCUGAAGAAAAUCAAACAAAGGCUGCUAAACAACAUCGAACAUUUUUAACAGAGAUGGUGAGUAAUGAGUACACUUGUGGUUAUUAGUUCACACUUAAUUUUAUCUUUAAUUCAACAUCUUUAAUCUAUUCUGGAAUUUUAAUCAUAUAUAUAAUAUGUCGGUAUUCGUAAAAAUUAAUAAACUAUUUUUUUCUUUUGCUCUCACGUACUAGGCUCUCUUCAAAAUUAAUAUUCUAUACUUUUAUAAUUUUUAAAGGAUUAAAUCAAAGUUUUAUCAUUUUGGGAGGGGCCAAAGUAUAAUUUUACGUUUAUUAAUUUAAAAUUUUAAAAAUUUUAAAGGGCCUAAAUGAAAAUUUUUUAAUUUUAAGGGGGGUCGGGACCCCUGCCAACUCCCCUAGGUACGGCCCUAUUAACAAAGCCCUCAACAAAUGAUAUUGUUCUCAUGUUAGGGUGUACGGCCCUAUUAACAAAGCCCUCAACAAAUGGUAUUGUUCUCAUGUUAGGGUUUUGUCUCUUGAUUCUGCUAAGAGCCCUAUGGGUUCAUGGAGAUGGUUGCAAGGUAAAGGCUACACCUGCAUUGGUUGGUAGUUUGAAUCCCUACGCACAUAUCCUCAAUGAUUAUUCCGCAGAGGCUAGGGAUAAAAUCCCGACAUAGGGACACUACCAUUAGUUGUUGAGGGCAGCACCGAUUGCCUAGCAAACAACAUUCAAAAGACUUCUCCUAAAAGAGUCGAUCUCCCUCAACAAAAAGUCAAGUACAAGGUCUAUUAUGGGUGAUCAUAAAUUAUACAAUCAAUGACAUAAGUUUUAUCGAUUUUCAAGUAUUUUCUAACUCUUUCUCUUUAUUUUCUUCUAAAUUUUUCAAUUCAGAGACAAGUAUAACACAAUGAUCUUAAUGGAGCUAGCUUGCCUCGUCAGGUAAUUUACUGCUUUCCAUUUAUUUAGAGUUAUUUAGAGUGUUUUGUAUUUAAUAUUGUCAUAGUUGAAAGCAUCAUUCAUAAUCUAAUCCAAUUGUGUUUUUAGCUAGCGGUUGUUGAUCAAAGAAAAAUAAAGGAGGCCAAUAAGAAGAACGAAACUCCACAUCUUGACUAUCAUGUUCUACAAAACAAAGAGACUUUUUUCUCGAUGAAAUUUGUAUUGGGCUAUCAAUGUUUCAUGGAUUAUGUUGUUUUUCUAAUGUAAGAUUGGGUUUUGCCAAUAUUGCAUGCAAAAUCAAAGUAAUAUUUGCCAAUGCUUAGCUUAAUCAACUCUAAUGCUGCUGUGGAUUUGAUUUGUCUUUACAGUACUUAGAGAUUAUUUUGUGAAUGUUAAAUUGUCUUUGGGCCUUUCAAAGAAAUUCAGCAAGCCUACAAGUUAUUUAAUUACUUUUGGACCUCCCAUGAAAUUUUUAUGUAUAAAACAUACAAUAUAUGGCUUGAAUUUCAUAAUUAUAUUAUAUAUAAUGAAUCAUUUGUUUCUUUUUCACCCUCUCCACCAAAAUAACCAUUAACAUCAUCAAAAUCACCCGUAUGAUCCCAAGGUUUCUUGUCUUGUCUAAACAUGUUUUUUUCUUUUAUAUUUUGUUAAUAAAAAAUACAAAUUUAUUUUAAACUUUCAAAAAUUUAGAAUUUAAACCUCUAAAAUAGAAAUUUUUAUUUGUCAAACUUCCACAAAUACAAACCUAUAUAUUGUUGUUAAUCCAAAUCGAAUAUUGGGUUUAGGGUUGAAGCAAAUUUAAAGAGGUAGACAAAGGUAUUGGCCCAACCAAAAUGGGAAAAAAAUUCUAUUAAGACCCUUUAAAAAUUAAUAAAUUAAUACAUGAUAAUUUCUCCAAAAAUUCUACUUCUCCAAAAAUUGAAUGUGAAACAGCAAAUUCAACGUAGACUUUUUUUUUUAAUCGUUUUUGAAACAAUGAUAUAAGAAAAUCCUAAAUGCAUUUGGAUUAAGCAAGAUGAAGAAAUGUUGAAAUUAUUUUGCUUAAUUAGAGACCCACAAUUGUGGAAAACUGAGUCAAUACUCAAAAAGUAUAAUCACAAUUCUACAAGAUAUGUGGUUUUAUCAUACUCACAAGGUGGGUGAACAAAUAUAUUUUAUAUUAAAAAAUAUAUGUAAAAAUAUUUAUUUUUAAACACAUCUUUAUAUUCUAAAUUUGUGAUUUUUAUACACAUAAAUGUGUGAUAAAAUUUGUAGUUAAUAUUUAAAAGUUUUAUUGAAUUUGUGUUACUCUCAAUCAAGUUACCAAUUCAGUAAUGUAUUUACCAAAAGCCCCUCAAUCAAGGACAUGGGCUUGACCGAGCCAACUCAACCUAUAUCAUCUGUUUCUAUUGAGUUUUGAUUGACCCUAACCCAAAGACCUGUCAAUGUUGCUAAAAUUGAAAUAUUUAACUUGUUGGAGAAGACUAAUAGUAGAAAAGUAAGUCAAUGCUAAAGUGAUAUGUCGACGGUUUUUUUUUUUUUUUUGGUGUAAGACGUUUUGUUGUUUUCAAAAUAGUUGAUAAGCCUGAAAUUAUAAAAGAUAAUCAUGAGGUCUUAAAUGCAAUUAUGAUAUUUCUAAAAAGAUAUUUCUCAACAAUUUUUUUUGAAUUUCUUAAUUGAUGAAAACAAAUUUAGGUAUUUCCCAAUUUGUAAAAACAUGAUUUUUUUUUUGAAUUUCUAGGUUUUUCUUAGCUUUUUUAUAUUAUUUUGAAAUUUUUGUAAUCUUCUUAUAAUUUCUUAAAAAAUAAUAUAUUUGUAAAAUUUUCUAAACCAUAUAUACCGAUGAAGGAGAAUGUGAUAAAAUUAGGGGUAAAUGUGUAUUUAAGCCAAAGAAAAUAAAAGAAUAAUAUUGAAAUUCACCAAAGACAAUUACAAGGACUAGAUGAACAAUUUGACCCGAAACUUUAUUUGAAAUGAUGUCAUUAAUGUGUUACAUCAGCUUUCUUAGAGAGAUAAAGAUUAAAUGAAUUUAAGAUACCAUGAAUCUUGUAUUUCUUUCCAAUACUUUCAUCUUGAAAUGAUAUGUCAAUUUUUUUAAAUGAAAAGGUUGAAAUGGCAUUAGAUGAAUAAAAAAAGAUACAAGUUUUAUGGUAUCCCAAUGUCAUUUAAUCCUUUCUUGCGUAGGGGUAUAAUUUUAAGGUGAGUUAUUACAAAUUAACAAAUGGAUAAUAUUGGUGACCAUAUAUUUACUUCAAAAGUUUGGUGACCAAAACUAUAAUUUUGAGCAAAUAAUAGUGACAGAAUUUGUGAUUUUCCAUUUUUUUUUUCAUUUUCAAAAAAUUUUGGUUUUACAUUUUAGGCAAAUGACAAAUUUAGCUCUAACAUUUUUUUCAUUUUACCUCAAUUUUUUUAUUGCUAUAGCCCUCAACAGUAACAAAUUAAAAAAAUCAAUUUAGCGUUUAUGAAAAAGAGUGCACCAAUUGAGUACUCAAUGAUUUCAAAAAAAUCAAUUGACCUCUUCAUUUAACAAAAACUGUGAGUUGAACGAUUUAACCAUUGAUAUAACUAAUGUUACGGACAGAAAUCACCAGAAGUUGUCACAUGAUAGUAUGAUAAUGUGGCAUGCCACAUAAAAAAAAUAAAAAAAUAUUUUUUAACAAAAAAUAAUUUUAAAAAAACAUUUUUAAAUUUACUUGCAACAACUUUGAGUAACAUCAUCCACAAAAGCUUGAAGGUUCAUAUCCAUAGAACCACCUUUCAUGGCGGCUUCCCUCGCUAACCCUUUCCAUUUCUCAACAUUUUUCUUCACUUCCAUCUCUUUUCUCUUCAUCCCCCAUCACCAAAUCCAAGCACCUAACGAUCUCAUCACGUUACUUUAUUGAAAGAAUAUUUUAUAAAUUAACUUAUUAUUAAACAUUAAAAAUAUUUGAAAGAAUAUUUAUGAUAUAAUAUAUUUAUAAUAUUAUAAAUAUAAUUUAUGCUUUAAUUAUAAGGAAAAUUUUGAAAGAUAAAUUUAUUAUAAUGUGUAGAUAUAUAAUUAAUGAUUCCGAAUCUUAAUAUAUACAGAAUAUAUAUGAUAUAAUUUUUUUUGUUAAUAAUUAAAUAUCAUUAAAUCAUUUUGUAAGUUUAUUAUAAUUUUUAUAAAUGAUACAAAAAAUAAUUUAAAGCAUAUUAUUCUAUAAAAAUAUUAAAAAUUAAUAAAUCAUAUUCUACUGAAAGGUGCAAAAUCGAUACAAGAAUAUAAUAUAAGAGGUUACAAUUCUUGUUGUAGAUAUAUAAUUUACUACUAAUAUUUCAAUAAGUUCAUUCUUUAUACUUUAAAACUUAUAAAUUUAAUCUCUUACUUUUUCAAUUUAAAAAUUUUAAUCCAGUUAUUAUCAUCUUUGAUAUUUUUUAUCAGAACUUGUGAACUUGUUUAUUUUGUGUUAGUCAUAUACCACAACAUAUAAGGGAAACCUAAUUAAUAUGUGAAGUUGACAAAUUUUGACAAAAAAAUAACAAUAGGACUAAAAUUUUUAAAUAAAAACAAGAAGACUUAAUUUUUUAAUCUUUUAAGUAUAAGGACUAAAUCUCGAAUUUUAUCAAAGUAUAAGGACAAAUAGAUUAUUUCAACCUUAUUUUGUUUAAAAAGUUUUUUACAUUUAUUAGAUCAAAAUAUUUUGUUAGUGCUUGUACCUUGACAACAUUUAAAAUUUAAUCCUUGUCCUUUAAAACUUAAAAAUGAAGUCUUCUUACUUUUCUAGUUUAAAAAACUUAGUCCUACCAUUAGGAUUGUAAGUAUUUUCUAUUCAAAUCUGUAAACUUGGAUAUAAUGUUGAGUACACUGCCUUCAUAUAAUGUUGCAUAUGAUUGAUAAUACAAAAUAAAAAUUAUGUUAAAAAAAAAGAAAUUAAAGAUCCAAACAACAAAAUUAAUAUAUAUAUAUAUAUAGUCGGUGCACACAUUAUUAUUUUUAUGCAUCUUUUACUAUACAUUCUUUCACAUGACUAAUUAUGAUGUUCAUAAAUCUAACAAGUUCAAUUAAUCAAUAUAAGUUAUCAAAUUAAAUUAAUUAAUUAAUAAUAAGUUAUUAAAUUAAAGUAAUGAAUUUAUAAGUUUAUAAUGUUCCAAAUUCAUAGUAAAGUAUUUAAUCAGGGAACUUAAUAGUUUAUUGAAUUGAUAUAUUUAAUUCCAUUCAUUACAAAAUUACAUAUUUAAAUUCAUAUGAAAUUUCAAACAUACUUUUAUUGAUUUUUUAGAGAAAAAUAUACUUUGUUGAUUGUUUUAUGGCUUAUAAUUUUUUAAAUAGUUUUAAAUAUUUUAUAAAGUAUUUAAUUUUUAAAAUAUAUCUUUUUAAAAGGGAAAUUCAUAAUUCAUUUAAUGAAUAAGAUCAUACAAUUUGAAGGGAGAAAAAUAACAAACACGUUGUAUGCGUUGAAGGACAAGCUCUAUCAAUAUAACAAAAACUUCAGUUUCAGCUUCAAUAGAUCAUUAUAGCACGUUGACGAUUGACUCUGUCACAACUAAAGCAUAAUAUAUUAGGAAUGAUUGCAAACACUUAAUAUAAUAAGGAAAUCAGCAAUAAAUGGUCCAAAGCACUUAAAAAUAUGUUUUUAGCUCACUUUAAAUUUCAAAAAGACAUUAUUUUUAAUAAUUUUUUAAUUUUUGUUAAGUGUGAUUAGUCAAAAAAAUACCUUUUAUACAGAGAUUUUAAAAUUCUUUUGUAACAUCCCGAAAUAGGGCCUAAAUGGAACAAUGGUUGUGAAACCACGAAUCUGAGAUAGAAAAGUUUAUUUUAAUUUAUUUUUAUGAUUUACCGAGUGAUUAGAUACAGGUAUUAGAGUAUUGAUAAGAAAUUUUAUUAAAUUGCAUGCCUAAAUCGUCUAUUAGGAUUUAAUUGCAAAAGUGGGUAAAUAUGAGUUUUAGAUGAUAAAGGAUUUAUUUGAAGUGCAUAAUUGAAGUAGAGGUCCUUAAAUGGUAAUUAGACCAUUAGAUUUUUAUGGAUAAAUUUUGGCAUGCAUAAAUAGAAAUAACUAAAGUUUUAAAUGAAGGGUAUUUUAGUCAUUGAAUAAUAAAAAGAAUAAAAAGGGAAAAAGAAGGCCAAAAAUAUCAUCUUCUCCAUAAGCUUGGCCGAAUAUUAAGGGACACCAUAGCUAGGGCUUUCACACUUUCUCAAGCUCAUAGUAAGUGAUUCCAAUCCCCAUUUUUAAUGUUCUUUACGUUUUUGGAGUCCCGGUAACUUGAUUUAGCUUAUUCUAGCAAUAAUUUAACCUAGGGUUUAUAUUUGGAAAAAUACCCAUAGGUGAAAUGUGUUUAUUUUGAUGUUUUAUGAUAGAAUAUGAAGUUUGAAAUUAUGUUAAACAACUUUUGCUAAGUGAUUUUAAGUGAAAAUGAGUAAAACGACAUAAUCUGUAAAAAUACCUAAUGUUCAUAAGUAAGUGCUAGAGUGGGAAUUCGAUGUUUCCAUAGAAGAAAAAAAUGUUCAUCAUGUUAUAAAACAAAAGAAUAUGGGAUGAAGUUUAAUUUCUGAGCUUUGGGGCAAAAGUGUAAAUAUGCAAAAGUUUACGGGUAAAACUGUAAUUUUUCCAAAAUUAAUUCAAUGACUAUUUUGAUGAAUGUGAGUAUUAAAUAAGCUAAAUUUGUUAUUAUAGAUCAAAAAGAAUGAAAUCUAGAGUUAGACCGGGGAAAGAAAAAGGUUGAGGACUAAAGUGUUAGAUUUGAUCACAUUUUGUACCAAGGUAAGUUUACAGUAAAUAAAUGCAACAUUUCAUUAAUUAUUAUUAAUGUUGUUAUUUAAUGUUGACUCAAGUAUGAAAUGACAGAAAAUUAGUAUUAAAAAGUCUCGUUGAAACAUUAGAAAUGUAUCGGAUACAAAUGUCAUGACAUUUGGGUAAAGAGAUCCCAUGUAAGACCAUGUCUGGGACAUGGAGUUGGCACCAAGAUGAGAGAUCCCCCGUAAGACCAUGUCUGGGACAUGGCAUGGGCACCGAUAUGAGAACUCUCAUAUGUAAGACCAUAUCUAGGAUAUGACAUUGGUAGUAUAGGAAACAUCCCAUGUAAGACCAUGUCUGGGACAUGGCUUUGGCAUGUUAUUAUCAGAUAUGAGACCCAAGUAUCAUUAUUAUUCCAAUGUGGCUCAACGGGCUAGAAAACAUAUUUUGUUCUAUGAAAGUUCAAGUAAAAGUAUAAUUAGCAACUUCAGUUGAGUUAUAAGAGUUAAGAACAUAUUAUGUUAUAAGAGUUAUAAGAGUUGUAAUCUUAAGCUAUCUAAGUAGGUAAGUAAGUAAACAAGUAAAUAAGAGUAAGUAAAGAGAAAAUUUAAGAACAUGAUACUUGCAUAUCAUUAUUUAUGUUAAAUAAUGUCAUUUAUUUACUUGUAAACUUACUAAGCUUUAUGCUUACUUCUUUGAUUUCUUCUUCUUUCAUAUAGUAUUAUCAAGCAAAGUCGGGAUCUUGAAGACGUCGGAGAGCGUUCACACUAUCAACCACCACAACUCAGUAUUUUAAGACGAUAAAUGUUUUGAGCUAUGGCAUGUAUAGGGACUUGGUCAUUUCGAUUGUAUAUUCUUAAGAUAUGGCCAAAAGAUGAUAUGUAAAUAUUUGAUGUUGAGUAGUUAUUAAAAUAGCUAAGUAUGAAGGUGUUUGUUGUUAUAAAUGUCUAGGUGAUAAAUUAUCCAUAGAAAUCAUGAAAGAGUAAAAAUUGGUAAUGAAUCAGUUUUGAGACAGCAGUAGUGACGUGAAUUUGAAAAAUCACCAAGGAUAGUAGAAAAUGAAUUAGAGGGUGGAUGAGAUAUAGAAUUAAAGCUUAUUGAGUAUAUUUCAUAGAAAAUUAACAGUGUAGGCAAAGGAAUUAUAUAUUCUGAGAUAUUUUCAUUUAGGUUAGACAAGGUCAAAGUGGUUUUCGGAAUCCCUUGUUUUGAAUUUAUAAAAUCAUUAAAAAUUUUAAAAAAAUAAUUAUGAGCUAUAAUUUACAUUUCUAGGUUCCUUAAUAAGUCUAUUUUCUGUAGAAACAAGUUAGAGCUCCAUAUAAAAAUGAUAUACAGAGAAAAUUUAUUUUUAGUGAAUAAAGGUCAGAACUGUCAGGCAGUGAAACAUGACAGAAUUUAAUGAAUAAGCUGAACCAAAAAUUUUGAAAAUUUUAUGGUAAGAAAAUAUAUGAGUCUAGUUUCAGGGAAAAUUUACGGAUUCAAAUUUGAAGUUUCCUAACUCGAGAUAUAAUUAACUUAGUGACUGCUGCGCAGGUGGACAGCCUUAUUAUGAACAGUGAAAUAAAAUUUGAAAGUAAAUUUUUAUGCCCCGAACUAUUAAGUUAAGUCAAGUAACGCCUCAUGCUCGACUCUGGAAACGGUAUCGGGUAAGGGGUGUUACAUCUUUUUAAAAGAUAAAUUUGAGGUCUGCAUUGAACUCUACAUAAAAUAGUAGGUUCAAGGUCGGUUAUGUGUAAGGAAGAUUGUACUAGCCCUACAACACUCAAAAUUGGAACUUAUUAAUUACGCAUUUGUCAAAAAAUUCAAUGUUGACACCAUUUUUUUGAUAAAACGGGGUCGACUUGGAUUUAAAAAUGAAAAUGAAAAUGGGAGUCGCCACCAAUUCUUUUUGAUGAGUUCUGAUCGGCUCACCUCGGAAAGUGGUUGUUUUUAAUAAACAAUUUGAUUUUAUUAAAACAAUGAUUUUGGUCCACGAAAUUUAGAAAAACGGGUUCGGGAAUCGGUUAUGCACGAGGAAGGAUUAGAACCCUCGAUACGCCCAAAAUUGGUACCUAGUUGAUUACUUAAUGUCUUAGUGUCGAAAAUUAAAAACUUUGAAGAGAUUUAUAAUACAAUCCUUUAUUAAAAUGUUGAAUUUUUUUGGGAAAAGGGCAUAUUUCACGUUAUUCGAGAAAGAGAAUUAUAUCUAGUAAGUUAGGACACAAUGUCUUGAAUUCUUGAUACGCGAAUAAAUGCUAAAAAUUUACUUAUUUAAAAAGAUAUUUAAUUAUCUCGGGUUUAGAAAAAGGAUCAUGCCCAGUAAGUUAGGACACAAUCUUUUUUCAAAUCCCGAGAUCGUUUAAAACUUGAGAGAAAAAAGGAUCAUGCCCAGUAAGUUAGGACAUGAUCUCUUUUUAAAUUCCCAAGAUCGUUUAGAACUUGAGUUUGAAAAGAUUCACGUAUUUAGAUUUAUUAUGAAAAUCGAAACCCAGUAAGUUAGGGUAUGAAAUUCUCGAAUCUAAACACGAGAUUUUGCUUAUUCAAAAAAAUCAUAAUUUAUGCAUUAAAUAAAAUCACGAAAUAGUUGAAAUGAAAUAUGAUAUCAAUAUAAGUAACAAAAUAAAAAUGAAUACAAUGACAUAAGCAUAAAUAAUACGAGCCAUAGCAACAAAAAUAAGUUAAAUAAAAAGGACAAAUCAAUAGCAUACAAAAUAUCAAGCAUAUAAGCGAAUAAGAUUAAAACAUUCUUUUAAAAUAAUAAUGAAAAUGUAAACAAAGAAAUAAAUAAAGAAAAGGAAUAAAAUUAUAAAAAUGUAAAAAUAUAUAUAUGUAUGUGUAUGUACAUAAAAUUAUGGAAAUAUAAAAUAUAAAAAAAUAUUAGUACAUAUAUAUAUUUAUGAAAAUUAAAAAUAUGUAUGUAGAUAUAUGUAGAUAUGUAUAUAAGUUAUAAAAUAUAUAUAUAAAAUAUAAGCAUGCAUACAUAUAUAUAUAAAUAGGUUACAAAUAUAUAUAUGUGUGUAUAACAAAGAUUAAAGUAAAGAUAUAAAUAGGCAAACAAAUAAAUAAAUGAAUAAAUAAAAAAUUAAGAUAAAAAGGGCUUGAUUGUAGCUUAAAUUAAAUUAGCAGGAUAGAUUAAAAAUAAUAAUAAUAAUAAAGGGACCAAUUUCAAAUGUGCAAAGAAAAGCAGGGAUUAAUUGGGAAAAUAUCCCAUAUCGACAAAACGGCAUCGCCCCAAGGAGGCACCUGCGCAUGGUCUAUGGACCAAAUUGAAACUGAAGCCAAACUUUGCAGCCAAAAUAAAAAAAAGGUAAAAAAUUUCGCAUCGAAUAUGCCGCAAAAGCGGAGGGGCUGAAAGCCAACUAGCCCGUCCGCUCAAAAAACACGUGGAUCCUGGCUUGGAGCGAGUCGGGUGGAUCGGGUCAAAGCCAAAACGACAUCGUUUUGGUGCCUGGGCUUGGGGCUCAAAACGGUGUCGUUUUGAACCUCUAUAAAAGCUAAUUUUUUUGUUAAAAAAAACAUUUUGUCCAUUCUUUUUUUAAAAAUUUUGUGGGAGCUUUCUCUGCUCUCUCUCACUCUCUGAUCUCUGACGGAAUUUUGACCGGUCCUCACCGUGCCGGCUACCGUAUAUGGUGGCCGAAAAACUUGAAAGGUAAUUUUUUUUGAGUAUUUCGUAUAUGUUUAUGUACACUAGUUUUUAAAAAAACACACAUAUGUAUAUAUAUGUUUUGAAAGAGGAGAUUAAAGAAAAAAUCAAAAAUAAAGUAAAAUAAAAGUAAAUAAGUAGAAAGGAAAGAAAAAAAAGAAGUAGAAUGAUAAAGAAGCCCAGAAUCACCUUUGAAAUAAGUUUUAUUUUUUCUCUCUAAUGAAUUCUUUUGUAUUUCAAAACAACAACUAAAAAAAACCCCAUUUACAUUUUCGAAUGGCUUUUAUAUAGCCAUUUUGUUACAUAUUUUUUAUUCCUCUUUUUGCUUUUUGUCGCUUCUUUCUAAUUUUACAAGUGCAAGUGGCGAUCCGGCACUGCCGUGGCAGUGGCAGAGGGUGGCGGCUGCGGCGCCAGAAGACCAAGGGUAUAAAGACCCUAGGUGCGACCUUUAGGGUUUCAAAAAUUGAAACCCUAGUCUAACUUGGAGUUGGGAUUUUGUUGGGCCUCGGUUUGGGUUAGGCUAGUUGGGUUUGUAAUGGGUUUUGGGUAUUGGGUAGGUUUUGUUUUGUUUUGUGUUUUGUCUUGUUUUGAUUUUGGGUUUAAUUGGGCUCCGGGUCAAAAAUUUGGUGCUAUAGCUGCCCCUCUUUACUCAUUGUCGUGCAACGAGAAUAGAGAAAAGACAUCAAAAUGGACCAAUUUUUGCCCAGUGUCGCUGAAUCUUGACUUCUUCUAGCGCUUCUCUUCUCCAAGUAGCAUCCUUCCGAUCCACUGUAUCUUGUUGCUUCGAUCCACCCCACUGCACUUCAGAGAGAUACGGCUUGUAGCUUCAAUCUUCUUCGCAGCAACUUCAGAAGGACGAGGUUUGUGGUUUUAGUCUGCUACACUACUGCAACUUUAGAGGGAUAAGGUUUUAUAUGAUCUGCUCUACUAUAACUUCAGAGAGAUAAGAUCUGCAAUGUAUAGCUUCAAUCUGUUCCACUGCAACUUUAAGGAAAUAAGAUUCGCUAUCUUCGUUCUGCUCCACCGCAACUUCAGUGAGAUAAGACUUGUUAUGGUAGAUUUAAUCCGACCUACAGUAACUUCAGAGGUAUAGGAUUCAUCGUUUUAAUCCGCUCCACUGCAACUUCAAGGAGAUAGGAUUAGUAGCUUUAAUCUGCUCCACUGCAACUUCAGGGAGAUAAGAUUGGUAUCUUUAACCAGCUCCACUGUAACUUCAGGGAGAUAGGAUUAGUAUCUUCAACCUGCCCCACUGCAACUUCAGGGGGAUAAAGUUGCUAUCUUCAGUCUGCUCCACUACAACUUUAGGGAGAUAAGACUUGUAUCUUUAACCUACCCCACUGCAACUUUAGGGGGCUAAAGUUUGUUAUUUUAACCUGCUCUACUACAACUUCAGAGAGAUAAGGUUUAUGGCUUUAAUUUGCUCCACUGCAAGUUCAGGGAGAUAAGAUUUGUAGCCCAUCUUUGAUUUACUUCGCUGCCAAUACAGGAAGACAAGACCUGUUAUCUUAAACCUACUCCACCGCUGCUCAGGGAGACAAGAUCUGCUAUCUUCGAUCUACUUCGCUACCAAUACAGGAAGACAAGAUCGAUUAUCUUGGACCUACUUCGCUGCCAAUACAAGAAGACAAGAUCUACUAUCUUCGACCUACUCUACUACUGCUCAAGGAGACAAGAUCUGCUAUAUUUGAUCUACUUCACUGCCAAUACAGGAAGACAAGAUCUGUUAUCUUCAGUCUACUUCGUUGUCAAUACAAGAAGACAAGACUUGCUAUCUUUGAUCUGCUUCACUGCCAAUCCAGGAAGACAAGAUCUGCUAUCUUCUAUCUACUUCGUUGCGAAUACAGGAAGACAAGAUCUGUUGCUUUCAGCAUUAACGCUAGGGAAAUAAGAUUUGUUGUUUUUCAAUCUGAUUCGCUGCCAGUACAGGAAGGCAAGAUCCGCUAUCUUCAGUUUACUUUGCUGCAAACUAUGGUGUAUUCGAUCUGCUUCGCUGUCAGUACGGGAAGGUAAGAUCUACUAUCUUCAGUCUUCUUUACUAUCAGUACAGGAAGGCAAGGCUGGUGUCUUCGAUCUACUUCACUGUCAGUACUGGAACAUAAGACUUGCUAUCUUCAGUCUGCUUCGCUGUCAGUACAGGAAGCAAGACCUGCUAUCUUCAGUUUACUUCGCUGUCAGUAUAGGAAGGCAAGGCUGGUGUCUUCAAUCUGCUUCGCUAUCAAUACAGGAAGGCAAGAUCUGCUAUCUUCACUGAUCUGUUCUCUGGGUAACAUUGCCUGUAUAAUCUAUUUUAUGAACCUAAUUAUGCCUAGUGAUUAGGAUGACAUGAUCAGAAUAAAUCAAAUUCUCCUAACUAGACGUGUAUGAAUGACAUUUGAAUGAAUGCAGAAUGUCAUUUUUUCUAGAAUGAUCCUUCUUUAUCACUUAGGUUAUCAUUACUCAAAGUUUAUUAAGGUUUUAUCACUGAUGCGCUACAAUGCCUUUUUGCUUGGCUGGCAUAUCCAAAGAAAACAUUUAAUCAGAUUGCCCCCACUGUGAACAUCAAAGUUCAAUCCACUGGGACGCAAAAUUUUACCAUCAUUCUCCCACUGUAACCCAAGGGUAGAAAAAUAUGGCUUUUUCUCAAUCCUCUCCUAUCGCAAUUCAAGGAUACAGAAUGUGAAGCUCUUUGGUUUUUUGUCCCAUUCCUAGGGUGUCAUACCAAAUGCUUAUGCAUCAAUGAAGAAUUUUUUUCUCCCAAGAAACCUCUUCUUAUUGCUUGGUGAACAUCGCUUGUUUGUUCAUUGGAGCUCUGACAUCUUGUAAAUUUUGUUCAAUCAAUGUUUUGACGACAAAAUCCAAAAGGAUAGUCUUAAUUUAGACUUUUUCUUUUUAGAUAUUUCAACCUUUAAACUUGGUGCGUUCUAAACAAUAACCCCAUUUCAGGUUCCUAUAUUAUUUAGAAACUUCUAGAGUAAUAUGCAAAACUUCCAUUGUGAAACUAUUACCAGUCCAUUAAUCAUUAUUCCAAUACAACAUGCUUGAAAAAGAUCAUAACAAUGGAUGAACAUAGAAUUGAUUUGGGAGCAUCGCUCAAAAUGGAUAAAUCAUCAAAGAGAGUAAGAAUAACAAAGGAAUUGAUUAGGAACACAUAUCUUGAAAAAGAAUGAAGUAUUCCAAGAACAUGAAAUUCAAUAUAAAUAGUGUGAAGACUAGGAGCCCUAGAUAUCGCAGCUUGAACUUCUCUGUACAAACUUUCUAGAGAUCAUUCUAAGUUUGACAUGUGUUUAUGAGAUCUACAGUAUUUUGUUGAUACCCCAAGAUGUCGCCUACCCUUUUCUGUUGAUUCAGGUAUAGCAAGAUCACCACAUGCCUCAAUCUGACCAAAAUUUGAGCUGUUGUGAUCACCUCAUGUCUCAUUCUAAUUAAAAUUUGAGCCGCCCAUUUUGGGUUUUCAGCUCAAAUCCCCUUUGGUCUCAAGGCACCCUUUACAGAUUUUCGCCUUGGCCUCUCCUUUUUAUUUCUUUUUCUUUUCUUUUUUCCUUCUCUUUUUUUUUGAAAUAUUUUUUACUCUAAACUCAUAGGAUUAGGCAAGUCCUUGUUAUCCCUUACGGUUGAAAUUAAUGUUUUUCCAGAUAGGGUCUUUCAUAUAAGGUCCUUUUCGGUUUGGCAUCCACUUCUUUCUGAGGUCUUUUUGUAUGGUGAAGAUCUUAUUCAGUACCAGGUCCCCCUCAUAGAAUUCUCUAGAGCGGACCUUCUUUGAUAAGCUUGCAUCAUUUGCUUUUGGCACAUUUGACCAUCAUGGAUAGCUUUGAACAUUCCUCUUUAAUCAAGAUUAGAUUCAAAAACUUAGAGAGAAUCUUGUCUUCAAUGGGUAAAACUGAGAUAAGCUAAAAAGAAAUACGUUGCCUCAGUAGAGUUUUUUCUUUACGCUGUCCUCUUUUUGGGCGAUAUGGUGUUAAUCUUGAACAGACUGUAAACUUCUGAUAUUGUGCUCUUGUUCAAAUCUAGUGCAUUGUCAGAUAUGAUCCUUUUCGGAAUUCCAUACAGACAUGAUUUUUUUUAAACAAUUUACUGACUGUCGACUUUGUGACAUUGGCAUAUGAAGCGGCUUCUAUCCACAAAGAUAAAUCGAUGACCACCAGAAUCCUUUGGCGAGAUCGACCCAAUGACCUUCAUGCCCCACAUAGGAAGAAGUCAUGGAUUCCAUUGAUUCUUUGUAAGGUAGGAUCUAUUUUUCAUAUUGUUCUACCAUCCUUAAUAAAUCCAGAGAUAGGCUACAAUCUAUGUCAUCUUCAAAGUCAUGAGAUCCCUCUAAACACAUAUCUCACUCAGAAGGAGAUUCUGAGUCUGUAGCAGCGUCACUCAUGUUGUUUAUAUUUAGGGACCUAUUGUAGGUACAAAAGAAUAUACAAAGAAUGUAUGAAUUUAAGAACAGUAUGAUUAUGAAUGAAUAAUUGAUUUGGAAGUAAAUCCAAAAGAAUAAAAGAAUCAAAAAUAAUUAUUCGUAAAGAAUGAAAGACUAUUGGCUCAAAAAUGAUCGCAAAGAUACAUUUCAUUAAAAUAAUAACAUUCAGACAUGAGCCUAUUUCACAAAAGAGUUCUUAUUGCCUCUAGGCUGAAAACAACAAGUGUGUUCUGAAUAUUACUCUAAGUAGGCUCUAAAUACUACAAAGGUUUCUUUUACGGUCCAAUUUAUUUAGAGCACCUCCAAGUUUAUAAGGGUGGACAUCUAACAAGGUCCUCUUUUCAGUUGCCUUCAUGUACAGCAUUGAUGUGAACAUUUUCCAACACUUUUUCAUACAUUGCAUUCAUACCAUUAUCAAUGUGAUUGGGUAGCGAAUUUUCUGCAUUGGAUGAAUCAUCAAAUUUGACAACGCCCAUACUGAUAAGCCUUUCAACCACUUUUUUAAGGGUAAUGAAAUUUUCUAUGGAAUGUCCUGUAAUUCUCGCAUGAUAAUCGCAUUGUACAUUCAUGUCGUACCAUUUGGGGUACGGAGGUUAUGGGGCUUUUGAGUAGAAAGGGGCAACAACGUGCGCAUCGAAUAAGCUGUAGUAUAGCUCCUUAUACGACAUCAGAAUUGGCAUGAACUGAAGCUUCUUAGUGUUUUAUCUUGUUCUAGAUUCUUGUCUUGAUGAGUCUUGUUGGUUAACGACCAUUUUUCUUGGUUGAUUCACCGUAAUUGGUCUAGAAUAACCCUUAUUAUAUGUACUCGUGUUGUUUACCUCAUUUUCCUUUUCCUCUAGGUCGACCUUUUGUUAUUCUCCUCAGUAUCAAUCUUUCCACCCCUUAUGGCACUUUAAAUCAUCUCACCAUUCAUGACUAUGUCAGAAAAACUUUUUAUGGCACUUCCUAACAUAUGUGUGAUGAACGGGGCUUUCAAUGUAUUGAUAAAGAGCACUGUCAUUUCUCUUUCCAAGAGUGGUGGCUGAACCUAGAUGGCAAUCUCCCUCCACCUUUGUGCGUAUUGCCUAAAAAUUUCAUUCGGCUUCUUUUCCAUAUUUUGUAGGGUGAUUCUAUCAGGGACCAUAUCUGCCACAUGACUGUACUGCUUCAUAAAUGCUUGUGCUAAAUCCCUCCAAUAACUAAUCUGGGUACGGCUCAAUUGAUUGUACCACUUAGACGCUGCCCCUAUGAGGCUAUCUUGAAAGCAGUUUAUAAGUAAUUGGUCGUUGUUAACGUAUCCAAACAUUCACCUGCAAAACAUGGUAAUAUGGGCUUCAGGGCAGCUGGUCCCAUUAUAUUUUUCAAAUUCUGGCAUUUUGAACUUAUGAGGGAGUACCAAAUCCGGGACCAAACUCAAGUUUCUAGCAUCAAUCCCCUGGUAAUUCUCACUACUUUCCAUAGCCCUGAAUUUUUCUUCGAACCACGUACAUCUCUCCUCCAGCUAUUUUGGCAAUUCUUCCUUUACUUUUUCUUUCUCAGCCACUUCAUCAAAAUCGGGUGCGAUAGGAUUUGUAGGGUUCUCUCCAGGGUUAAAACCUAAUCCAGUCUGGAAGUUCAUUGGCAUUGAGGUACCAACCAGAAACUGCUGAGGCCCGAUUGUGACAGAGGAUCUGCGUUGGUGCACAUCGACUUGGGGUUGUACUUGUGGAAGAGUAUAGCCCGGAGGGUAGAGGGGUCCAUCAUUGUCUCCUUCUUCAGCAUUAGCCAUAGGGCUCUUUCCUUUAUCAUUUUCCCCAGCCAACAGUUGUGUUAGUUGAGUCAUCAAGCUCCUUUGGGACUCCACCAUCUUUUUCACCAAAUCUUGCUGAAUUUUUUCCAGUCGCUCUUGCAUUUGGUCUUGCAUCUCUUUUUGGAGCUUUUCAAGUCUUUCCAUUCUUUGAUCCAUGUUCUUCAAUUUUGCCCGAGUACUGUAAGGGUGUUGGUUUUCUAGGUUAACUGAAAUAAUUUUAUUCAAUUAAGGUCUUUUUAUGGUCGUUAAUGCAUAUAAUGUCAUGUAAUGCAAAUGCAUGAAGUGAAUGCAAAAAGAAGUUGACUCUGAUUCAAUUCCAUUUAGAAAACUUUACUAAAAAAUAAAUUUCUUUACAUAUAGCAGAUGCAUGUACGGCCUUGCCCUCAUACUCCAAGAAACAACAUCGAUCUUUCCCUUUAUCCGGAUGUUUAAGAUAAAUCUCAAAAAUUUCAAGUGGAUGCCACUACUAGCUCCUUCUUGGUUGAUCCUAGUUGCGAUCCAUCGUCUGCCCAUCCUCGUAAUGCUUAUCACCUUCUUUAAGAAAGUCGAAAUGUCGACGACUAUCAAAUAAUUAGCUUCAAUCCUCAAACUGCGAAGUAAUGUCAUGUACUCUUCCAUAACCCUUCUUUUGUUAUGUUUCUUGGAAUAUAUUUUGGCGACCGUAUUGUCUCCCACUUUAUCAAGAAAUCCAUUUUCUUAUGAUAAGCUCUCUAUUUAGCAACUGAACAUGAAUCAACACCUUUUUCCUAUUUGAUGAAAAAUGCAAUGCAAUGCAGUGCAAUCAUAAUUGAAACAAAAUGAAACGGGUUAGUACAAAGCAAAAGUAAGCAAGAAAGAAACAAAUAGAGCACCUAUUCGGGUGACCACUAAGGGUUUGGAGUGGCUCUACUUAGGGUAGGCUCCUAAGGGGUUUUUGACAUGCAGUUUAGUUCUAAAGCAAAGGUACCCGUACCAGUAGAUUCCUCAAUCCUCACCCACUAUAGGCUCAUAUAGACUGAGUUCGGUUCAGGGGAAUACAUUUCCCUAUGGCUGCACGGAGAUGAAGAUCUCACGAAGACAUAGGUACGGAUGUAUCCCGAAAGCGAUCUACUAUCCUACACGGAGGUGAAAACCUCACGAAGGAAUAGCUUCUCAGUCCCACUUAAAAGGGUGUGACCAACGGUCAUGCAAUGCAAUGUGCAAAAAGAUACCAAAACUUAGACUAACACAACAAUUAUAAACCAUAAUUUGAAUAUCAUAAUAAAGACGGAUGAAAUGCAACGAAAGUAUCGUAUAUUUAAAUCAAGUUUUCAAUUUUCGACGAAAAGACAAAAAGUAAUCAACUCGUGGCUUGACUCUCGUAUUUUGGGUCCCCAGUGGAGUCGCCAAGCUAUUGACACCAUUUUUUUGAUAAAAUGGGAUCGACUUGGAUUUAAAAAUAAAAAUGAAAAUGGGAGUCGCCACCAAUCCUUUUUGAUGAGGUGUGAUCGGCUCACCUCGAAAAGUGGUUGUUUUUAAUAAACAAUUUGAUUUUAUUAAAACAAUGAUUUUGGUCCACAAAAUUAAAAAAAAGGGGUUCGGCAGUCAGUUACGCACGAGGAAGGAUUAGCACCUUCGAUAUGCCCGAAAUAGGUACCUAGUUGAUUACUUAAUGUCUUAGUGUCGAAAAUUGAAAACUUUGAAGAGAUUUAUAAUACGAUCCUUUAUUAAAAUGUUGAAAAUUUUUGGGAAAAGGGCAUAUUUCACGUUAUUCGAGAAAGAGAAUUAUAUCCAAUAAGUUAGGACACAAUGUCUUGAAUUCCCGAUGCUCGAAUGAAUGCUAAAAAUUUACUUAUUUAAAAAGAUAUUUAAUUAUGUUGGGUUUAGAAAAGGGAUCAUGCCCAAUAAGUUAGGACACGAUCUUUUUUCAAAUCCCGAGAUCGUUUAAAACUUGAGAGAAAAAAGGAUCAUGCCCAGUAAGUUAGCAAAUGAUCUCUUUUUUUAAUUCCUGAGAUCGUUUAAAACUUGAGUUUGAAAAGAUUCACGUAUUUAGAUUUAUUGUGAAAAUCGAAACCUAGUAAGUUAGGGUACGACCUCGAAUCUAAAAACGAGAUUUUGCUUAUUCAAAAAAAUCAUAAUUUAUGCAUUGAAUAAAAUCACAAAAUAGUUGAAAUGAAAUACGGUAUCAAUAUAAGUAACAAAAUAAAAAUGAAUACAAUGACAUAAGCAUAAAUAAUACGAGCCAUAGCAACAAAAAUAAGUUAAAUAAAAAGGACAAAUCAAUAGCAUACAAAAUAUCAAGCAUAUAAGCGAAUAAGAUUAAAACAUUCUUUUAAAAUAAUAAUGAAAAUGUAAACCAAUAAAUAACUAAAGAAAAGGAAUAAAAUUAUAAAAAUGUAAAAAGAUGUAUAUGUAUGUGUAUGUACAUAAAAUUAUGGAAAUAUAAAAUAUAAAAAAAAUAUAAGUACAUAUAUAUAUUUAUGAAAAUUAAAAAUAUGUAUGUAGAUAUAUGUAGAUAUGUAUAUAAGUUAUAAAAUAUGUAUAUAUAAAAUAAAAGCAUGAAUACAUAUAUAUAUAUAAAUAGGUUACAAAAAUAUAUAUGUGUAUAACAAAGUUUAAAGUAAAGACAUAAAUAGGCAAACAAAUAAAUAAAUAAAGAAUUAAGAUAAAAAGGGCUUGAUUGUAGCUUAAAUUAAAUUAGAAGGAUAGAUUAAAAAUAAUAAUAAUAAUAAUAAAGGGACCAAUUUCAAAUGUGCAAAGAAAAGAGGGGAUUAAUUGGGAAAAUAUCCAUAUCGGCAAAACGGCGUCGCCCCAAGGAGGCACCUGUGCAUGGUUUAUGGACCAGAUUGAAACUGAAGCCAAACUUUGCUGCCAAAAUCAAAAAAGGUAAAAAAAUAUCGCAUUGAAUAUGCCACAAAAGUGGAGAGGCUGAAAGCACAAUUAGCCCUUCCGCUCAAAAAACACGCGGAUCCUAGCCUGGAGCGGGUCGGGCGGAUCGGGUCAAAGCCAAAAUGAUGUCAUUUUGGUCCCUGGGCUUGGGGAACAAAACGAUGUUGUUUUGAACCUCUAUAAAAGCUAAUUUUUUUGUUAAAAAAAAACAUUCUGUCCAUUCUUUUUUAAAAAAUUUUGUGAGAGCUUUCUUUGCUCUCUCUCACUCUCUGAUCUCCGACGGAAUUCCGACCAGUCUCUCACUCUCACUCUUUUUUUGCGUAUUUCGUAUAUGUUUGUGUACACUGUUUUUUUAAAAAAACACACAUAUGUAUAUAUAUGUUUCAAAAGAGGAGAUUAAAGAAAAACUCAAAAAUAAAGUAAAAUAAAAGUAAAUAAGUAUAAAGAAAAAAAAACAUGAAGCUGAAUGAUAAAGAAGCCCAAAAUCACCUUUGAAAUAAGUUUUAUUUUUUUCUCUCUGUUGAAUCCUUUUGUAUUUCAAAACAACAACUAAAAAAAAGCCCCCAUUUACAUUUUCGAAUGGCUUUUAUAUAGCCAUUUUUAACAUAUUUUUUAUUCCUCUUUUUGCUUUCUGUCGCUUCUUUCUGAUUUUGCAAGUGCAAGUGGCGAUCUGGCGCAGCAGUGGCAGUGGCAGAGGGUGGCGGCUGCAGCGCCAGAAGACCAAGGGUCUAAAGACCCUAGGUGUGGCGCUUAGGGUUUCAAUUUCUGAAACUCGAGUCUAACUUGGAGUUGGGAUUUUGUUGGGCCUCGGUUUGGGUUAGGCUAGUUGGGUUUGUAAUGGGUUUUGGGUAUUGGGUAGGUUUUGUUUUGUUUUGGGUUUUGUCUUGUUUUGAUUUCGGGUUUCAUUGGGCCCCGGGUCAAAAAUUAGGCCCUACAUUCAAUAUUUAAAAUUGAGAAAUCUAAUGAUUAAUUAUGACCCCUUGAAAUAAAAUACUAACUUUUCGAGUGAAUUAAAAUUUAUUAGUGAAAUAAUUUUUAGUAUCUCUUGAUAUCCACAAAAAUAUUAAAAACAUUUUAAAAAGAAAACAAAACUAGUAAAUUCACUUUAUUUAGAAAAAAGAUAUCUCCAAACUAAUUUGAUCAAUGGUUCACCACCUUGGAAGCUGUUUCCAAUGAAAGUAUAUUUUAUAAACUAAAUUAUUCAGGUCAUUAUUUUAGAUGAUCCUCUCCAUAACUACUUUUACUUGUGAGAGAAAAAAAAGUCUAAUAUUGAAAAAGCCCAUCAAUAUGAAUAUGUUUCUCUCUUUUUUUCCUUAUAUUAUUUAUAAAUCCUUUUUUUAAUAUCAUAAAAAUUGGUAUAAUUUAAUUAUCAAUAACUUUUACUAACCUUUGAACUUGAGGAUAAAACACAUUUGAGCACGAUUAAACUCAAAUUUUCCUACACUGACAAUAAUACCAAUACUAACUCAACUAAAACUCAAUCACCCAUAUAUUUUAAUUUUUAAAUAUAAUAAAACAUGUGCAUCUAGAAUAAUCUAGUAUAUAUAUAUAAUAGUGUACCCGGUUGCGUGGCGAAUUUUGUUAAUUUAAGUUUAGACAUGGAUUGCUAGUUUGAUAAUAGAUGUGUUUUUAUUUUUGUAAUUUUUAUGUCCAGGUUCAUCGUCGAUAUUUGUGGAAUUGAACUAUAAUUGAAAAAAUAUAAUUUUUAAGAUAUUUUUAUACACUAAAUGUUAACUCUAUUACAAUUUAGACGUAUUUAAUAUUUUUUUGGUUGAACAUAAGCUUAGAAAAUUAAGCGCUCAUCAGUCCAAAUGAAAAUUAUCAUCAGUCACCAGUGAUUGUCUAAUAUCUUCUUCAAGCUAGCAUCUCACAUAAUGCGGAGGAUCUUCCAAGAUAACCAGCUGCUCAAUUACGCCUCCAUCUGCCUUAGCUAUGCAAUCAACAAUUUUAUUGGCAUUCUGCUAAAUAUGUCGAAAUUUGACUUCCCAAUUUUUGGAACACCAAUCGUGAAUCUAUCUUACUUCAGCAACACUACUUAUUGUAGCCAACCCGUUACAAAGAGUUUCAAUCAACAUCUUGUAGUCACUUUCCAUAUUUUCAAUCUUUCAGGAAUAGCUCUGGCUUCAAUCUAGGAGAUAUCAUUCAUACCUAAUACAGAGACUAAAAUAAUAUAUUUAAUAAUAAAAAGACCAAUUUAAUCCAUUUCCUAGUAUACAAAUAUAUCCCAAAUAAUUUAAAAGUGAAUUUUAUGUUUGGGUUUUUGAUGUGUGAAAUAUUGAUGGUUCUAAUUAAGUUUUGAUUGAUAAACUAAUAAAUGUAAUUAAAUAUAUUAUAAGAUACAAAAUUAUUGUUUGAUUCUCCAUAAGUCGGUUUGGGUCACUUUCAUUGGGUGACUUACCUCUAAGUCUUCUCACGUCUACAUUAAUUCACAUUUUCUUUUGAAUUUCUAUGUAGAAAAAGGAUGUAUGGAAACAUGAUUACGAUAGUGUUGAAAAUAAUGAUAUGUUAGGAAAAAAUAUAAAAAAAGGUGUAUAUAAUUAGUUAAAUAUACAUAAAUUUUGUAGCGUUACUAUAAUUUUAAAAUAUAUUAUUGUUAAAAAAUUUUAAAUUUCAUAUAAAAUUUCAAACAUAUUUUUAUUGAUUUUUUAGAGAAAAAUAUAUUUUGUUGAUUGUUUUAAGGCUUACAAUUUUUUAAAUAGUUUUAAAUAUUUUAUAAAGUAUUUAAUUUUUAAAAAUAUAUCUUUUUAAAAGAGAAAUUCAUAAAUUCAUUUAAUGAGUAAGAUCAUACAAUUUGAAGGGAGAAAAAUAACAAACACGUUGUGCGCGUUGAAGGACAAGCUCUAUCAAUAUAACAAAAAAAUCAGUUUCAGCAUCAAUAGAUCAUUAUGGCACGUUAACGAUCGGCUCUGUCACAACUCAAGUAUAAUAUAUUAAGAGUAAUUGCAAAUACUUAAUAUAAUAAGGAAAUCAGCAAUAGAUGAUCCAAAGCACUUAAAAGUAUGUUUUUAGAUCACUUUAAAUUUCAAAAAGAAAUUAUUUUUUAAUAAUUUUUAAAUUUUUGUUUAGUGUGAUCGGUCACAAAAAAAAAUACCUUUUAUACAGAGAUUAUAAAAUUCUUUUCAAAAGAUAAAUUUGAGGUCGGUAUUGAAUUCUAGAGAAAAGAGUAGGUUCAGGAGUCGGUUAUGUAUAAGGAAGAUUGUACUAGCCCUACAACACUCAAAAUUGGUACUUAUUAAUUACGCAUUUGUCAAAAAAUUCAAAAUUUAAAAUUGAGAAAUCUAAUGAUUAAUUAUGACCCCUUGAAAUAAAACGCUAACUUUUCGAGUGAAUUAAAAUUUAUUAGUGAAAUAAUUUUUGGUAUCUCUUGAUAUCCACUAAAAUAUUAAAAAUAUUUUAAAAAGAAAAUAUAUCUAGUAAAUUCACUUUAUUUAGAAAAAAGGAUAUCUCCAAAUUAAUCUGAUCAAUGGUUCACCACCUUGGAGGCCUAUGUCCAAUGAAAGUAUAUUUUAUAAAUUAACUUAUUAUUAAACAAUAAAAAGAUAUCUGAAAGAAUAAUUUUUUAUUAAUUUUGUUUUAAGACACCAAAAUCUAUAUUGAACAAGUCAAAUUUAGUGAAAAAAUUAAAUAAAAUUUUAAGUUUACUUUCAAAGUUAAAUAUGACUUAAUGGUAAAUUUACUUAUAUAUUCAAAGUGUAAUGAUAAACAUCAAAUAAAAUAUAGUGAUAAAUUUCAAUACACUUAUAAUAUACUGGCAAAUUUACACUAUAACUCUAGAAUUAUUGAAGUUUUUAUCCCCAAAUCAUCCACAAUUUGUGGAAGAGCUCGUCAAUUACUGAAGUUUAGCCCUAAUGACCCAUUUGUGUUAAUAAAGUUAACAUUUACUAUUUAAAUUUUUUUAUUUAACAGAGUUAAUUUUUUUAAAGUUUUAUGGUUUUAUAAAUGAAAUAUUUCUUCUAGAAUUAAACUACAAUUGAAAAAGAAUUAAAAUAUUUUGUACACAAUAAAUGUUAACUCUAUUACAAUUUGGAUAUAUGUGAUUUGAGUAACUAAAAAAAACAUUUAAUAAUAAAAGGAGGAAUUUGAUGCACUCGAGAUCCCAAUUUCUUUUACUCAAUUAAUAUCAAAGUGCUAACUAUAAGAACCAAGACUAAAAAAUAAAGUUUUACACUUUUGAUAUAACCAAUAACAGAAAAAUAGCACAAAAUUAAUUAGUUAAUUCAAUUCAAUAGGAACUUGUGUUAUAUGUAGUUUCGAAUUGAAGUAAAGUAAGAGGAAUGUAAAGAAAUAAAUGAAAACAUGUUUUCCUAAGUCCAAAUCUAGCUCAUUUUCAGCAUUUUGAGCUUCAAGUGGUUGCAGCAUCAAUGAGACACUACCUCCAAAUGUGCUGUAAAAGGAUGGCUCAAAAGCAAACAUUGCUUUUGGUUGGAAAGUGGUGUUGAUAGGUUAUGGAUGCGGGGUAGUGUUUGGAAUGGCCAUGGGAUGUGUUGCUUUCCAAACCGGCAAGGCGAAAAGGUUCGUGAAUUUGGUUGAAGACCAACAUGAGAAGAGGCGAAGAAGAAAGCCAAAAUAUAGCAAUAGCAUCAGUGGAUGAAGAAGGAUCUAGUUGGUGCAAAUGAAGUUAAAGCAUUUGUGCUGUGUCUUCAUAAUUUCUUGUUUAGUAGUCUGUCAGAAAGUUUUUCCUAUGGUGAAAAGUUGCAUUGGUAUGUGUCUGUUUUUAUGAUUGUACUAAUUCCUCUGUAUUUCAUUGCAUUUCGUACUAUUUGUACGGGUUUAGUUCGAGUGUAACAUCUUGUAUGGUGCAACUAUGUAUGUCUUCUUUCUUGAAUUUCAAUUUUUAGUUAACAUUAUACUGCUCACCAUAAAAAAAAAUUACAUGUAGAAUUACAAAAGAUUCAAUUAUUCAAGUUUGAGUUGCAUUGAUAAACACGUGAUGAUGAGAAUUCAUGAACAUAAGGUAUGGUUUGAGCCCUUUUGCCAUACGCAUUUAUGUUGUAGAUGUUCAAACAUGGAAUAAUUCAACCUGCCUUUGUGUAUUCUUAAUUUUGUGCCGAACCUAUAUAUCUAUCAACAAAUUUAAGAGUAAUAUUUACAAUAGCAUUGCAGAGUAACAUAUUUAAGAUUACACAGUCAAAAGAUUGCAGCAACGAUGAGAUUAAUCCAAUUAGAGGAAUUGGUAUCCUAAAUGGCUUUUAGGUACGUAGCUUCAUUGACGGUUGAAACUAGUUAAAAUUUCCAGCAUUCAUGUCUUUGUUUUCCCUCAAGUAAACGUAGUCAAUACUGCAAAUGGUGUGGAAGUAUUGUACAUUGUGGCCCAAAUGUCCAAAAUUUCCACAUUGCUUGUAAAUUAAGUUCGGGUGAGAGAGGAGGAAGCAACAGCAAGUGUGAAGUCAAUAGACAAUUGGUAGUCUUAGCCCUUUUUGUGGAGUUAAAAGUAUAGUCAAUAGACAAUUGAUAGUCAAAUUUGUAGCAGUCUUCUUCCUCCUUAUUCUUUCGUGUGGAAAAUUAUUUAGGACCAAACUUGACGUGUUAUAGGGAAGAAGACUGUAAUCUCAUGAAUGAAAAAUAUAUGGUAAAAAGGAAGUAGUUGUUGAUCACUAACAACAUGAUGAUUGUGGAAAUACAAAAAUUCUCAUAUAUGUGUUGAAUUUUGCAUAAUGUGAAUGUCCUGCAUUGCAUGUGAAUUCUGCAAUAUAGUCCUUUAAUUUGAGUUAAUGAAAAGUAACCAUUCUUAUCAAAAUUAGUUAUACUCUUAAUUUAUAAGAAAGGAAAGAGUAAUUUGAGUUUAACUCAAAGGUUAAUACUCGUCAAUUAAUGAAGUUUAGCCCCAAUGACCCAUUUGUGUUAAUAAAGUUAACAUUUACUAUUUAAAAAAAUAAUUUUUUAUUUAACAUAGUUAAUAUUUUUAAAGUUUUAUGUUUUUAUAAAUGAAAUAUUUCUUCUAGAAUUAAACUACAAUUGAAAAAAGAAAUUAAAAUAUUUUGUACACAAUAAAUGGUAACUCUAUUACAAUUUGGAUAUAUGAGAUUAGAGUAACUAAAAUAAAACAUUUAAUAAUGAAAGGAGGAAUUUGAUGCACUCGAGAUCCCAAUUUCUUUUACUCAAUUAAUAUCACAAUAAAUGGUUUAGUUUAUUUUUUUAUUUGUCAGGAUAGGAGGAAUUCAAUUUAAAAAUUUUAAUCCAAUUAUUAUCAUCUUUGAUUUUUUUGUCACAAUUUCUCAACUUGCUUAUUUUGUGUUAGUCAUAUACUACGACAUAUAAGGGAAACCUAAUUAAUAUGUAAAGUUGUCAAAUUUUGACUAAAAAAAAUUAACGAUAGGACUAAGAUUUUUAAAUAAAAACAAGAAGACUUAAUUUUUAACCUUUUAAAUAUAGAGACUAAAUCUCAAAUUUUAUCAAAGUACAAGGACAAAUAGAUUAUAUCAACCUUAUUUUGUUUAAAAAGUUUUUUACAUUUAUUAGAUCAAAAUGUUUUGUUAGUGCUUGUACUUUGACAACAUUUAAAAUUUAGUCCUUGUACUUAAAAAGUUAAAAAUUAAGUCUUCUUACUUUUCUAGUGUACAAGCCCAUUUUGCCCGGGCCCAUUACCAAAAUUUUAACCCAAUACACCCAAAACAAUUAACCUCAGCCCAACUAGCCUAACCUGAAGCCCAAACCCGAGCCUCAGUGACUGAGGCCCAAUCCCAGCUAAAAAAAUCUCUGCCUAGGGUUUCAGACGCCUAGGCGCCGCCUCUAGGGUCUUUUUUCCCUUGGCCUUCCGACGCCGCCAGACGUCCCAUCCGCGCCGCCCGCGGUCACGUCGGCCACUCCACUUGCGCCGUCACCUGCAAAAACACGCAAGAAACAGUAGCAAUCAAGAAAAAAAGACAGUGUAAACGGGCUAUAAAAGCCAAAGACCCCCACUGUCAAGGGGUUGGGGUUUUGAUUCUCUUUUUCUUUCUUUUGUAACGUUUCCACAAAACAAGAAAUAUAAAAAUCAAAGGUGAUUUCUAGUGUUUUUGAUUUAGUUGUUGUAAUUCUUUUUUUAUUUUCGUUUUUUUUUUGUGCAUUUAUAUACAUAUAUUUAAUAUAUAAAGAAAAAAGACAAAAAUCACCGUGACGGAGUUUCAAAUGCCGAUCCGGCGCUUCGUCGGCCGUCGGAGGUGGUGGCGGUACGGCGAGCGCAAAGUCGACGCUAAGAGGACCCAAGGGUCGGGUUUUUGAGAGAAAAAAAAGAAAGGUUUUUGAAAUUUUUUAAAAAAAACAGUGGCUGAAAUGAAAAAAAUAAAAAAGGGUGUUUAAAUAGCAAGAGAAAACGACGCCGUUUUGCCAUUAGGGUCAGGCGCCAAAACGAGGCCGUUUUGGCCCUGACCCGCGCGGUGACCCGACCCUAGGGGAGGAUCCGCGUGUUUUUGACUCUCGGGUUAUUUGCGCAAUUGGUCCCUCCGAUUUUGUGGCGCUUUCAAGGAAGUUUUUCGCAUAUUUUCAAUUUUGGCCAUGAAUUUUCGCGUCUGUUUCGAUUUGGUCCCUCGACCAUGUGCGUGCAUUCACUGGAAUGGCAUCGUUUGGUCAGCGAGGGAAUAUUUCCAUUUUGGUCCCUCCUCUUUCAGUGCGUGUUACAAUUUAGUCUUUUUAGUCUUUUUAUUUCGAAUCUGCCCAAUUUUUUUAUUUUAUUUCGAUUUGGUCCUCUUUUUAGUACUUUUGCUAUUUUGUUCGUUAUUUUUGUAUUAUGAUAAUUAUUAUUAUUAUUAUUAUUAUUACUAUUAAAUAUUAUUAGUUUUAUUUUCCCUAUACGUAUUCGUUACUAUUUUGUUUGUUAAUUAGUUGCAUGUUAUUUUUAGCUUUAUUUUAUUCUCUAUAUAUACAUAUACACACACAUAUACAUCAUGCAUUUACAUGUCUUUAUAGUAACUUAUUUUAUAUACAUACAAACAUAUAUAUAAAUAUUUUUGUAUUCUAUAAUUUAUAUACAUAUAUUUGCACACCCAUAUAUAUCUAUAUAUAUAUAUAUAUAUUUUAAAAUACAUGUACAUAAAAUAUGCUUUCAUACAUCUUUAUAAUAUAUAUACUUACUUAUACUUUAUACUUUCAAAAAUAUUCAUUUUGUUUAUAUUCUUUAUAUUUUAUAAUAUAUUUUAUACAUAGGUAUUUUAUAUAUAUAUAUUAUAAUUCACAUAUGCAUACAUAUUUUAAUUUAUAUCUAUAUACAUAUAUGUCCCUUUAUAUUUUUAAUUGUAUUCACUUUUUAUUUAUUUCAAUUUCAUUUAUUAUCUUGAAUGAAUGUUUUAAUUUUAUUCGUUUAUAUACGUUGUUAUUUGGUAUGUUGUAAAUUUGAUCUUUUAUUUAUCUUAUAUUGUGCUAUUGCUCGUAUCAUUUUUAUACUUUCGUAUUCAUUAUUGUUUCGUCAUGCAUAACAACAAUGUAAUUUGUUUUCACAUUCUUUACUACGACUUCGUGUUUUAUUUUACUCGAUAUAACAAAAUUUGUUUUGAAUAAAUACUAUUUCGUGUUUAGAUUUGAGAGAAUCGUACCCUAACUUACUGGGUUUCGAUUUUUGCAAUAAAUCUUAAUAUACGAAUCUUUUUAAACUCAAGUUUUAAAUGAUCUCGGGAUUUAAAAUAGAUCACGUCCUAACUUACUGGUCGUGACCUUAUUUUUAAAUCCGAGAUGGCUAAAAAAUCUUCUAAAUAAGUAAAUUUUAGCAUUUUUCAUUCGCGUAUCGGGAAUUCGAGAUAUUGUGUCCUAACUGGAUAUGAUCAUCUUUCUCGAAUAACGUGAAACAUGCUUCUUUUUCUAAAAAUUUUUAACGUUUUAACAAGGAUCGUAUUUUUAAAAUUUUCUAAAAUUCUCAAUUUUCGACAUUAAGACAUUAAGUAAUCAACUAAGGUACCAAUUUUGGGCGUAUCGAGGGUGCUAAUCCUUCCUCGUGCGUAACCGACUCCCGAACCCGUUUUCUAAAUUUGUGGACCAAAAUCGUUGUUUUAAUAAAAUCAAAUUAUUUAUUAAAAACAACCUUUUUCAAGGUGACCCAAUCACACCUCAAAAAGGAUUGGUGGCGACUCCCGUUUUUAUUUUCAAAAUCCAAGUCGACCCCGUUUUCAAAUCAAAAAAAUGGUGUCAACAUCUAGUUUAAAAAACUUAGUCCUACCAUUAGGAUUGUAAGUAUUUUCUAUUCAAAUUUGUAAACUUGGAUAUAUGUUGAGUAGACUGCCUUCAUAUAAUGUUGCAUAUGAUUGAUAAUAAAAAACCUAUUAAGUUGAAAUUUUUUAAUGGAAUUAAAAAUAAUUGGACUAGAAUUUUUAAAUUAGAAAAGUAGGAGGAUUGGAUAUUUUUUUACUUUUAAAUUACAGGGACUAAUAGCAUAUUUUAAACAAUUUAUUAUUCUGAAAAUAAAAGAACAUAUAGUAAUUAAUAAAAUAUAUUUUUUAAGUUUUUUUAGUGGAUUAUGUGGAGUAAUGUGAAGAAAAUUUAGGAGAAAUUUUGAAAAUUUGCUUCUUUGCAUGUAUUUUUUAAAGAAGAAGACUUGACAUUUAUUUUGAAAUUUCUUCAAAACUUCGCUUUCCUUUUUAAUUUUUAGGGUAGUCUUAAAUUUAUCAAGCUUAUCAAGUGUGCGAGGGUUGAAACAUAUUAAAGCAUGCUCUCUGGGCUUUUCUUCAUCAUCCAAACUAUUUUAUCAACUCAACUUCCCUUUUCCUACUUUUUUUUUAUUUUCUUGCCUUACUCCAUCUUGCAAUCAUGAACUACAACACUUGCUUUCAUCUUCUUUUAGCUUUAUUCAUACCAUGUUCCGUACUUUGCUUGGCUAUGACAGUUAGGAAUCUCAACUCCGAUCAGUUUGCACUUCUCGAGUUUAAGGAUCGCAUUGCCAGUCCUCAAAAUGUCUUGGCAAACAAUUGGACGGCCUCAACUUCUGUUUGCAAUUGGAUUGGUGUUUCUUGUGGCAUCUUCCAUAAAAGAGUUAUAGCUUUGAAUCUUACAAGCAUGAAUCUUAGGGGUACUAUCCCUCCACACCUUGGAAAUCUUUCAUUUCUACUCUCUCUCGACUUGAGUAGCAACCAUUUCUAUGACCAUCUCCCUAAAGAAUUGGGCCAAUUGCAUAUGCCAGACUUUUAUUUUUAUUUUAUUUCUAGUUUUACAAUAUUUUAAAAAAUUAUUAGUGUAUUAUAUGUUUUGUCUAUACAAAUCACAAGGACUAAUUACUACUCAAAACUUCUUAUUAUGUCUCAACUUUCUAAUUGAUUUCAUCACAUUUCCAUGCCAAAAUUUUAUUCUUAAUUGAGUUAAAGUUUUACAGUUUUUAUUUUAAUGUAUUAUAUAUUUUGUGAAUUUGGUAUUCAAUGACUAUGUAUACUAAAAGAUGCUAUUUUACAGGUAAUUUACCACCCAUCACCAAUGCUCCAAAGCUUGAGAUUCUUUUAUUGUGGGGAAAUAAACUCAGCGGAAACAUUCCCAACUCUAUCUCCAAUGCUUCCAUGCUUCAGAUUAUAGACUUGGACCAAAACUUAUUCUCUGGCCCAAUCCCUAAAAUACUUGGCAGCUUAAAACACCUUGAAGUGCUCCAAAUCCCUGACAAUAAUUUGAUCACAGGAUCUGCUACUGAUCAUGAGUGGAGCUUUCUUUCUUCUUUGACGAAUUGUAGGAAUUUGAGCGUAAUAGAUGUUUCAGGAAAUCCAUUGAGUGGCGUUCUUCCUACUUAUAUCGGGAACUUUUCAAAAUCCCUUCAAUACUUUUAUGCCUCUAAUUGUGAGCUUCAAGGCAUUAUUCCUAUGGAAAUAGGUAACUUAAGCAACAUGCUGGUUUUAGAACUUGGCUUUAAUAAAUUAAGUGGAUUCAUUCCAACAUCAAUAGGAGGACUGCGAAAUCUCCAAAGUCUAGGUCUUUCCUCUAAUAAAUUAGGAGGGCCCAUCUCGGAAAGCCUUUGUGAUUUGGAGAGAUUAUACAAUUUUUUUUAGGGUUGAAUAAGCUGCAUGGAUCCAUACCAUCUUGUUUGGGUAAUAUUACUUCUUUGGGAUAUCUUUACUUAUAUUCCAACAGAUUGAGUUCUACAAUACCCUCAACUUUGUGGAAUCUUAAAGAUAUCUUAGAAAUAGAUUUAUCAUCAAACCAUCUUCACAAUUCACAUGCUAUUGAUGUUGGAAAUUUGAGGAGUCUACUGAAACUAAAUUUAUCAAGGAAUCUUCUCACGGGUGAUCUCUUAUCCACAUUUGGGGGUCUUCAAACUUUGGUUUCAUUAGAUUUAUCAAAUAAUAUACUACAUGGUCAUAUCCCUGAAUCAUUUGAUAGGUUGAUUAGUUUGGAAUUCUUGGAUUUAUGCAAUAACAAUCUCUCUGGAGCCAUUCCCAAAUCUUUGGAAAAGCUUUCACAUCUAAAGUAUUUUAAUGUGUCUUUCAAUAGACUGGAAGGGGAAAUUCCCAGCAAAGGAUGUUUUUCAAACUUUUCUAGCACAUCAUUCAUGAAGAAUUAUGCACUUUGUGGUCCACCUAAAUUGCUAGUUCCACCUUGCAAAAAUGACAUCCGCAAAAACUCCCAAAUGAUUAUAUUGCAUGCUUUUAGGUAUGGUUUACCAACAAUUGGUAUUGUCGUAGUACUAAUAGUCUUAACUAUUAUGUAUAGAAGAUGCCAAAGGAGGAGUACAACUC